CACGAACCCAGACCAACUCCGGACACAUCUGAACAUCUGAAGUUCCCUGGUAUGACUUAGCUGAUAGCUCAUCCUUCACAAGAAUGCUUACAUGAAUGGCACCCGAGUUGGAAGGAAAAAAGAUCCAGUGGAUCAUUUCAGAAUUUAGUUUGGCUCUCCCCACACAGGAUUUAACCAGGCUGACAGAUUCAGCACAGGAAAGUAUUUUAAUGUAAUGAUAUACCACCACUUCUAGACCCAAUGACAAGAUGAAAAUCCAAGAGCAGGCAUAAAACACCUAUAAAGAAAUGACAGAGCUUGAAGUCAGUGUGAAUAAUUUCUGAAUCAUAAAUUCACAAAGGGAACAGGGAAAAGAAAGGAGAAAAGGAGAAGCAAAGAGGAGGGGGAAAAGUUGAGUAGCUUGUUCCACCCACCUCAAAU
RNAcentral lists this long non-coding RNA (420 nucleotides) under Homo sapiens (human). RNAcentral describes it as "HSALNT0306904". Lineage: Eukaryota; Metazoa; Chordata; Mammalia; Primates; Hominidae. The record is from RNAcentral.